RNAcentral lists this ribosomal RNA (244 nucleotides) under uncultured anaerobic ammonium-oxidizing bacterium. RNAcentral describes it as "partial 16S ribosomal RNA". It matches the Rfam family "Bacterial small subunit ribosomal RNA", at positions 439 to 674 of the family's 1533-position model. The record is from RNAcentral.
GGAGUUAGGAAAUGUAAGUGCGCUAAUAUCGAGCUUAUUUGACAAAGGCUCCAAAGGAAGCCACGGCUAACUCUGUGCCAGCAGCCGCGGUAAUACAGAGGUGGCGAGCGUUGUUCGGAAUUAUUGGGCGUAAAGAGCACGUAGGUGGGUUUGCAAGUCAGAUGUGAAAGCCUUCUGUUCAACGGAAGAAUUGCAUCUGAAACUACAAGUCUUGAGUAUAGGAGGGGAGAGUGGAACUUCUGGU